AGCCCUUUUCAGCUCAUUAGCAUUUGUGCUUGCCCUGGGGGAAGAAUCCACCAUUCCAGCUCAGGCUAUUCUGCUGCCAGCUCCUCCCCUCUGUGAGCCAUGAUCCUGACUUCAGACCUUGCCUGAACAUUCUUCAUACCACUUGCCUUCUUUUUCCUGAAAUCAAGGCAAUAUGUCAGUAUUGAGUGAAUCCAGACAUCAUAGCUCUGUAAGGCAUGUUGAUAUUGAUUGCUUCUUUGUCUCAGGAGGUAUAAGAACUGGCAGAUCUCAAAGGGGAAAUUUCUGGUAUCCUGUGUCUUCAGACUUUGUUCUUCUGUUCAAGUAACUCUCCUCCCUUCAUGUAACCUAGCAACGAUUUACAUGACAAAGCCUUGCCUGCCUACCUGCCCUCAGAUCAGCCUGGAAAUCAACCCCUGAGGAGCCUUUGUCAGAUUUAAACACACAAAUACCACUCCUGGUGUCCUCUCUUUUGGAAUGUCAGCCUUGAUUCCCAUGGGCAGGCUUCAUGCUCACUGUGAUUUAUGCCUAGCCCUGACCUGGGAGAACUUUCACAGAUGGGAUGCUGUGUUUCUCUCAUGAGUUUAGAACACCCAGGGCUUGA
Long non-coding RNA from Mus musculus (house mouse), 601 nucleotides. RefSeq annotates it as predicted gene, 26715. The record is from RefSeq and is a predicted model, not a curated record. The transcript has 4 exons. NCBI's taxonomy places the organism in Eukaryota, Metazoa, Chordata, Mammalia, Rodentia, Muridae.